UGUUUGUUCAUUGGAGCUCAAGAGACGUGCAUGUGAGGACAAGCAAGCUAAAUACAAGAGCAAAAGUUGAACCGGGUUGAAGAUAAACGGUGCAGGCAUGUUCAGGGCGGGCCAUCAUGUAGGCAGCUGCUGCAAUGCUAGAUAAGUUGGACGACUUCUCUGGACACGACAAGACUGAAUCAGGGCACCAUUAUGAAUAACAGGCAAUUUUCAGAUAUGUGUCUGUCUACCAUCUGAUUCCAUACUCCCAGCUUCUGAAAAAAGAUCAUACAAGUGAUGAUGGAUUUAGCAGGAAAUGUGAAUUUCUCUCUUAGUUAGUCUUACUGCGCACACGGAGUUGAAUCGUGAUCGUAUGUAUUACUCGCAGCUUGAUGCACACAUGUACACUGAAC
RNAcentral lists this long non-coding RNA (392 nucleotides) under Hordeum vulgare. RNAcentral describes it as "long non-coding RNA (HVUL_LNC000160)". Lineage: Eukaryota; Viridiplantae; Streptophyta; Magnoliopsida; Poales; Poaceae. The record is from RNAcentral.